CUCUGACACCAACAGACAGACAGGUACCUUAUACACAGCAAGAUUCAAAUCUCAUACAAUUCCAGAGACAAACACGAUGGGGAUCGGGCUCUGGAAGGCAACUCUUCUGCUUCUCUGCCUCUCCCUCUUUUGCCAUACAGGGGAGAGUAAAUUAUCUGAAAACAGCUUAUCGAAGAUUAUUGAGAACAUGUACCAACGGUUUGACCAAAACGCCUUGAUCAACCAGAUAAGAAUUGAAAACAACAAGGAAACAAGAAGGGGGAAAAAAAUGGCUGCAGGCCAACAGUACAGUAUUGCCCUCCAGCUCUCUGAAGAACGCUGUGAUACGGGAGAAAUGGACGAUUCCACCUUAAAAACCCUCAACGGUCUCGGCAAGACAUUAGCGAACGAGGCUGUGUUCCAGAGUGAUAGAGUAGUAGCAGCCAUUCCCAAACACGUGUACAAUAAUAAUAGGAAUUAUACACAGCACGCUGAAUAUCGAGUUAUCACAAAAAUCCCAACUAAGUCCAAUUACGGAUGUCUGAUUGUCUAUACUCGCUUCAGCCCGUGUACAUCAAAGUGUGCUGACCCAAAUAGGCCUAGCAAUAUCAUAAGGCCACUCCGUGACUUAAAGCAGAAAGCUGAGUAUAAGGCUCUUGUUUAUAGUAAGAUAUUCCAUAUGGACAAAAAACAUUCAAGCAUACAAAAUAUUUACAAUAGUCUGAAAGAAAUACAAAACGCCAACGUAUAUUGCUGUUCUGAAAAAACACCUGUCAACUGCACAUGGUUUGACCCAAAUGGAGGUGUAAACCAGACUUGCAUGUCUGUGUAACUCCCAACUUCUAUAACAUUCCACUCUCCUUCUGUCUGAUUAUAAAUGUGUUGCUGUGUCCUGACAGCUCAACAGUGUGAUUGUGCUCAUCAUGUCACAAACAGUGCUUUUCAAUAAUGGGGAACUACUUGUGCAAAACAGGACUCAAUUUAAAAAAAUGUCUCUGAUAAAAAAACUUUCCUUCAGAUUUGUGUUCAUCUGCUGAUACUGUUAAUUGCAAUUCAUUUGUGGAUGAAAUUUUUGUCAGGUAAAAAGCGCCUGACCUGCUUACAAUCAUGUCAUAUCC
Megalops cyprinoides (Indo-Pacific tarpon) is the source of this 1097-nucleotide long non-coding RNA. RefSeq lists it as uncharacterized. The record is from RefSeq and is a predicted model, not a curated record. NCBI's taxonomy places the organism in Eukaryota, Metazoa, Chordata, Actinopteri, Elopiformes, Megalopidae. The transcript is spliced from 4 exons.